This 162-nucleotide unclassified non-coding RNA is filed under the name uncultured Ascomycota. Its description in RNAcentral is "sequence contains ITS2". Lineage: Eukaryota; Fungi; Ascomycota. The record is from RNAcentral.
CAACCCUUAAGCCUAGCUUAGUGUUGGGAGACUGCCUAAUACGCAGCUCCUCAAAACCAGUGGCAGAGUUUUUACGUACUCUGAGCGCAGUAAUUCUAUUCUCGCUUCUGAAAACGUCUAGACAAUAGCCAAAAACCGCAUGCUUCGGCAGCACUUUUUAAU